GGGUUGUGAGGUUAAGCGACUAAGCGUACACGGUGGAUGCCCUGGCAGUCAGAGGCGAUGAAGGACGUGCUAAUCUGCGAUAAGCGUCGGUAAGGUGAUAUGAACCGUUAUAACCGGCGAUUUCCGAAUGGGGAAACCCAGUGUGAUUCGUCACACUAUCAUUAACUGAAUCCAUAGGUUAAUGAGGCGAACCGGGGGAACUGAAACAUCUAAGUACCCCGAGGAAAAGAAAUCAACCGAGAUUCCCCCAGUAGCGGCGAGCGAACGGGGAGCAGCCCAGAGCCUGAAUCAGUGUGUGUGUUAGUGGAAGCGUCUGGAAAGGCGCGCGAUACAGGGUGACAGCCCCGUACACAAAAAUGCACAUAUUGUGAGCUCGAUGAGUAGGGCGGGACACGUGGUAUCCUGUCUGAAUAUGGGGGGCCCAUCCUCCAAGGCUAAAUACUCCUGACUGACCGAUAGUGAACCAGUACCGUGAGGGAAAGGCGAAAAGAACCCCGGCGAGGGGAGUGAAAAAGAACCUGAAACCGUGUACGUACAAGCAGUGGGAGCACGCUUAGGCGUGUGACUGCGUACCUUUUGUAUAAUGGGUCAGCGACUUAUAUUCUGUAGCAAGGUUAACCGAAUAGGGGAGCCGAAGGGAAACCGAGUCUUAACUGGGCGUUAAGUUGCAGGGUAUAGACCCGAAACCCGGUGAUCUAGCCAUGGGCAGGUUGAAGGUUGGGUAACACUAACUGGAGGACCGAACCGACUAAUGUUGAAAAAUUAGCGGAUGACUUGUGGCUGGGGGUGAAAGGCCAAUCAAACCGGGAGAUAGCUGGUUCUCCCCGAAAGCUAUUUAGGUAGCGCCUCGUGAAUUCAUCUCCGGGGGUAGAGCACUGUUUCGGCAAGGGGGUCAUCCCGACUUACCAACCCGAUGCAAACUGCGAAUACCGGAGAAUGUUAUCACGGGAGACACACGGCGGGUGCUAACGUCCGUCGUGAAGAGGGAAACAACCCAGACCGCCAGCUAAGGUCCCAAAGUCAUGGUUAAGUGGGAAACGAUGUGGGAAGGCCCAGACAGCCAGGAUGUUGGCUUAGAAGCAGCCAUCAUUUAAAGAAAGCGUAAUAGCUCACUGGUCGAGUCGGCCUGCGCGGAAGAUGUAACGGGGCUAAACCAUGCACCGAAGCUGCGGCAGCGACGCUUAUGCGUUGUUGGGUAGGGGAGCGUUCUGUAAGCCUGCGAAGGUGUGCUGUGAGGCAUGCUGGAGGUAUCAGAAGUGCGAAUGCUGACAUAAGUAACGAUAAAGCGGGUGAAAAGCCCGCUCGCCGGAAGACCAAGGGUUCCUGUCCAACGUUAAUCGGGGCAGGGUGAGUCGACCCCUAAGGCGAGGCCGAAAGGCGUAGUCGAUGGGAAACAGGUUAAUAUUCCUGUACUUGGUGUUACUGCGAAGGGGGGACGGAGAAGGCUAUGUUGGCCGGGCGACGGUUGUCCCGGUUUAAGCGUGUAGGCUGGUUUUCCAGGCAAAUCCGGAAAAUCAAGGCUGAGGCGUGAUGACGAGGCACUACGGUGCUGAAGCAACAAAUGCCCUGCUUCCAGGAAAAGCCUCUAAGCAUCAGGUAACAUCAAAUCGUACCCCAAACCGACACAGGUGGUCAGGUAGAGAAUACCAAGGCGCUUGAGAGAACUCGGGUGAAGGAACUAGGCAAAAUGGUGCCGUAACUUCGGGAGAAGGCACGCUGAUAUGUAGGUGAAGUCCCUUGCGGAUGGAGCUGAAAUCAGUCGAAGAUACCAGCUGGCUGCAACUGUUUAUUAAAAACACAGCACUGUGCAAACACGAAAGUGGACGUAUACGGUGUGACGCCUGCCCGGUGCCGGAAGGUUAAUUGAUGGGGUCAGCGCAAGCGAAGCUCUUGAUCGAAGCCCCGGUAAACGGCGGCCGUAACUAUAACGGUCCUAAGGUAGCGAAAUUCCUUGUCGGGUAAGUUCCGACCUGCACGAAUGGCGUAAUGAUGGCCAGGCUGUCUCCACCCGAGACUCAGUGAAAUUGAACUCGCUGUGAAGAUGCAGUGUACCCGCGGCAAGACGGAAAGACCCCGUGAACCUUUACUAUAGCUUGACACUGAACAUUGAGCCUUGAUGUGUAGGAUAGGUGGGAGGCUUUGAAGUGUGGACGCCAGUCUGCAUGGAGCCGGCCUUGAAAUACCACCCUUUAAUGUUUGAUGUUCUAACGUGGACCCGUGAUCCGGGUUGCGGACAGUGUCUGGUGGGUAGUUUGACUGGGGCGGUCUCCUCCUAAAGAGUAACGGAGGAGCACGAAGGUUGGCUAAUCCUGGUCGGACAUCAGGAGGUUAGUGCAAUGGCAUAAGCCAGCUUGACUGCGAGCGUGACGGCGCGAGCAGGUGCGAAAGCAGGUCAUAGUGAUCCGGUGGUUCUGAAUGGAAGGGCCAUCGCUCAACGGAUAAAAGGUACUCCGGGGAUAACAGGCUGAUACCGCCCAAGAGUUCAUAUCGACGGCGGUGUUUGGCACCUCGAUGUCGGCUCAUCACAUCCUGGGGCUGAAGUAGGUCCCAAGGGUAUGGCUGUUCGCCAUUUAAAGUGGUACGCGAGCUGGGUUUAGAACGUCGUGAGACAGUUCGGUCCCUAUCUGCCGUGGGCGCUGGAGAACUGAGGGGGGCUGCUCCUAGUACGAGAGGACCGGAGUGGACGCAUCACUGGUGUUCGGGUUGUCAUGCCAAUGGCACUGCCCGGUAGCUAAAUGCGGAAGAGAUAAGUGCUGAAAGCAUCUAAGCACGAAACUUGCCCCGAGAUGAGUUCUCCCUGACCCUUUAAGGGUCCUGAAGGAACGUUGAAGACGACGACGUUGAUAGGCCGGGUGUGUAAGCGCAGCGAUGCGUUGAGCUAACCGGUACUAAUGAACCGUGAGGCUUAACCUUACAACGCCGAAGGUGUUU
RNAcentral lists this ribosomal RNA (2931 nucleotides) under Shigella sonnei. Its description in RNAcentral is "bacterial LSU rRNA". It matches the Rfam family "Bacterial large subunit ribosomal RNA". Lineage: Bacteria; Pseudomonadati; Pseudomonadota; Gammaproteobacteria; Enterobacterales; Enterobacteriaceae. The record is from RNAcentral.